ACCUUUAUCCCCUGCCUAGAGUCUAAAAUGCUAGUGUUACGUACUGUACAUGACCGUAUGGUGGAAGGAGACAAAAGACCCAUCUCUGCCACCUAUUAUCUGUGUGGCUUUGGGUAGGUCACUUUCACCUUUUAGCGUCUCAGUUUGCUCAUCUGGCGAAUGGACACAAUCUAACGGACAGACGCUGUGGGUGCUUCCUUCGUUCUCUCCUAGGCCCUUCGUUCUCAAUCCUGAGCAUGUAUCAGAACAACCUAUAAGACUUGUUAAAAGACAGAUUGCUGGGCCCCACCUCCAGGGUUUCUGAUUCAGUAGGUCUGGGAUGGAGUCCAAGACUGUGCAUUUCUACAAGUUUCCCAGAGUCUGCUUUUGGAGAAGUCCCCCCCCAAGAAUCAGCAGAGGUCAAGCAUGAGAAGCGAGUAAAUCCGCGAAAGCCCACGGCAGGAGCAGCUCACCUCUAGGACAGCAGUUGUAGACUCAGCGGAGCGCACAGGAGCUGGAAAGUGAGGGAGGCCAGGUCAGGAGGAGUCAGGAUGGCACAGACUCUGGCAAAGCGGCGAGGCUCUGCCCGUUUUGGUGGGACAGCAUCUAUGGAUUGCUUCUAAUGGUUGCCCUCCAGGGAUGAGAGUUAUGUAUUGCUGGGGAUCCAGAUUUCUAUGUGAAAUCUCCCAAUGUUUAAAUGCUACCAAUCCCAAAAAUAAAAGGAAAAAAAAAAGAAAAAGAAAAGAAAAAACAACAACUCUGUGAGAACCCAAGA
Aethalodelphis obliquidens (Pacific white-sided dolphin) is the source of this 754-nucleotide long non-coding RNA. RefSeq lists it as uncharacterized. The transcript has 3 exons. The record is from RefSeq and is a predicted model, not a curated record. Lineage: Eukaryota; Metazoa; Chordata; Mammalia; Artiodactyla; Delphinidae.